This 1641-nucleotide long non-coding RNA is filed under the name Gadus morhua (Atlantic cod). RNAcentral describes it as "lncRNA (ENSGMOG00000022722.1)". Lineage: Eukaryota; Metazoa; Chordata; Actinopteri; Gadiformes; Gadidae. The record is from RNAcentral.
CUCCUUUAUAGUCAACCCCCACCACACGUUAUCGUCGUCAUUUUGAAUACCCAAAGGCACUUUUAAGAGCCACGUCCAUCUGUCUGCCUUUCUGUCUGGCUGUCUGUCUAUCUAUCUGCCUGUUUGGCUGUCUAACUGUCUGUCUGCCUAUCUGUCUGUCUGUCUGUCUGUCUGUCUGUCUGUCUGUCUGUCUGCCUGCCUGCCUGCCUGCCUGCCUGCCUGCCUGCCUGCCUGCCUGCCUGUCUGUCUGUCUGUCUGUCUGUCUGUCUGGGUCAGUCUGUUUGUGUUGCAAUGGCCAUGAGACAUACCAUUGACCGCCAGCAUCCCAGCUACAAAGAGGGGAAACGUAAAUUGCUUGAAAGUAAACAAGACCACCUUAUAGCUGAAGCUGAGAGAGCCGUUGAGGAGAGGAAACGUGCGCGUUCUGGUGGAGGACCUCCAUGUGGCUCCACUAGUGACGGUGCAAGACGAGGCAAGCCGAGGGGGAGGCGUGGAGGGCGACGCGGAGGGCGACGCAAAGCCUCAGCCACAGUCACGUUCCCCCCAGCUGAGUGCUCCCCGUCAUCCCAUGAGGACGUUCCGCUUACUGUACCUUCAGCGCAACUGAAUCCUCAAGAGGCAUUUGAAAAGUUUGUGGAGAGGCUUUCAUCUCUAAAUGCCUCUGGUCCUUCUGCCAAGCCUCAAAGAAGCUCUGCAUCUUCAUGGACUUUUCGGCAGCAGAAAGCCUCAGAGCGCUGGACAGAAGCACGACCAAACCACCUACAAGGCCUCAUUGAAAAGGAGGCUGUUGGUCAUCCCUUGUGUUGCCUCUGCCCCAAGCCGGCUGUUAUUAGGUGCAGAGAGUGUCUCCCUGAAGAGUGGUUCUGUGGGGACUGCGAUGUACUGCAUCACAAAAAACAGCCACUCCACAACAGGGAAUGUCUGAUACGUGGGUUCUUUGAACCCAUUCCUCCAACCACACGCGUCAUGAAAGGGGAGGAUGGAUAUUUCACUCAGGAGCAAGGACGUUAUGACUUGCAUCAGCCACUGUAUGUAUGUCAGACGUGCCAGCAGCAGAGGACCCCUGACAUGAAGCACUUCCUUCAGAGUGGAUAUUGGCCAGCCUCUCUCAAUACUUCCACGUUGUACACGUUGGACCUCUUGAGCUCCUUUCAGGAACUGAAAGUAAUCUCUCCGGGAUUCUCCAGACAGGCCUUCGCAAAGCUCCUGGAGCAUCGCACCAAGUGUGGAGGACGAGUUAGUAUUAUUGUUCUUGGACAUAUUACAACAUUUCUGUGCAUAAGCAGACAACAUCCCAAAUAUUUUUUUAUUCUAUGUAUCUUCCAGUCUGGACAUAUCAAAGGUGACACCCUGCAGCGCAGCUUCUUGGAGUUUUCAUAUGCUUCGUUUGAGAAGGACCAACUCUGCUGUGGUGCUGUUUUCACCUGCACAGCCUGCACACCAGAAAUGUUGGCUGUUUCAGUUGAUGGAAACAGAAAGUUAUAUCGCUUUCGCCGAAAUGGAAGUUCUGGUGACCAUGCCUUUUUUGAAGGUUUAUUUGUGGCUGAAGACUUUGCAGUGUCUGGAUUUGUGGACAUGAUCCAGAAAGCUGUGAAAAAGGCAAGUUUGAAUCGUAAUUUGACAAAAUACUUCUGUUGCUAA